RNAcentral lists this non-coding RNA (148 nucleotides) under Gorilla gorilla gorilla (western lowland gorilla). The record is from Rfam by way of RNAcentral. Lineage: Eukaryota; Metazoa; Chordata; Mammalia; Primates; Hominidae.
GCUGGGUGUGGUGGCGCACACCUGUAGUCCCAGCUACUCGGGAGGCUGAGGCAGGAGAAUUGCUUGAACCCAGGAGGCGGAGGUUGCAGUGAGCCAAGAUCACACCACUGAACUCCAGCCUAGGCAACACAGCGAGACUCUGUCUCCA